GAUGAACGCUAGCGAGAGGAGGAACACAGGCAAGUCGAGGGGCAGCACAAGGUAGCUUGCUAUCUGGGUGGCGACCGGCGCACGGGUGCGUAACGCGUAUGCAACUUGCCCUAUACAGGAGGAUAACCCGUCGAAAGACGGACUAAUACUGCGUAUGCUCACAACUUGGCAUCAAGUGGUGAGGAAAGAAAUUCGGUAUAGGAUAGGCAUGCGUCCCAUUAGCUUGUUGGUGAGGUAACGGCUCACCAAGGCAACGAUGGGUAGGGGAACUGAGAGGUUUAUCCCCCACACUGGUACUGAGACACGGACCAGACUCCUACGGGAGGCAGCAGUGAGGAAUAGUGGUCAAUGGGCGCGAGCCUGAACCAGCCAAGUCGCGUGAAGGAUGACUGUCUUAUGGAUUGUAAACUUCUUUUAUACGGGAAUAACAAGAGUCACGUGUGACUCCCUGCAUGUACCGUAUGAAUAAGCAUCGGCUACCUCCGUG
Molecule: ribosomal RNA, 487 nt
Filed under: uncultured bacterium
Lineage: Bacteria
Description: partial 16S ribosomal RNA
Rfam family: Bacterial small subunit ribosomal RNA
Source: RNAcentral